UGGGUUUGACAUGGAUCGGGAGUGCUCAGAGAUGGGUGUGCCUCUUUUGGGGUCGGUUCACAGGUGGUGCAUGGCUGUCGUCAGCUCGUGUCGUGAGAUGUUGGGUUAAGUCCCGCAACGAGCGCAACCCUUGUUCACUGUUGCCAGCACGUUAUGGUGGGGACUCAGUGGAGACCGCCGGGGUCAACUCGGAGGAAGGUGGGGAUGACGUCAAGUCAUCAUGCCCCUUAUGUCCG
RNAcentral lists this ribosomal RNA (236 nucleotides) under uncultured bacterium. RNAcentral describes it as "partial 16S ribosomal RNA". It matches the Rfam family "Bacterial small subunit ribosomal RNA", at positions 977 to 1209 of the family's 1533-position model. The record is from RNAcentral.